GUUUUCAUUGCUUUGUUUGACCUUAGUGUCAAAAAGGGGUUGGAACAAUGCGAUUGUUUGGGCGAAGGGAUUUACCGGUAAUAUCAACAGAAGAGGGACGAAGAGAUGAAGGGUAAAAUCUUCGCUUUCUAGGCUCAAUUGUGCCUCCUCUGUUUAAACUAUUUCGGCAGAACUUUCUAACCUGGAUUCUUCACAUCCUUGUAUAAGGCAGCCUCCCCCAGGUGCCAAUCUGCAGGAAAGUUGGUUCCUAACGCCCACAGGGAUCAUUCGUGGCCAGAGAAUUUGGAAGCUAUUCAACCUUGUUUCCUCCCUAGAUUAUACACACAAGAUUUUACACUGACUUGUUGUCCCUGACAGAUUCUUGCUUUUUUUGAACGUUAUACAGUAAUUAUGAUAAUUAAUUUGACCCCGGCGUUUGGCUCUCGCCGAGUGUCAAAAAGGGAAGGGAGAAAACCAAAUAAAAUAAAAACAUACAAGAGAGAAGAAAACCCAACGCCCAUUUCGCAUCCAACCCAAAAACAAACAAUAACAAUCAAAGGUAGUCGAACAUAAUGACUAGGCCAGGCCAAAAAG
RNAcentral lists this small RNA (573 nucleotides) under Histoplasma ohiense. Its description in RNAcentral is "hypothetical lncRNA". Lineage: Eukaryota; Fungi; Ascomycota; Eurotiomycetes; Onygenales; Ajellomycetaceae. The record is from RNAcentral.